GUCCGCGUGGCCUAACGGAUAAUAAGGCGUCUGACUUCGAAUCAGAAGAUUGCAGGUUCGAAUCCUGUCGCGGACG
Non-coding RNA from Uloborus diversus, 76 nucleotides. NCBI's taxonomy places the organism in Eukaryota, Metazoa, Arthropoda, Arachnida, Araneae, Uloboridae. The record is from the annotation of a RefSeq genome assembly.